AUUGAACGCUGGCGGCAUGCCUUACACAUGCAAGUUGAACGGUAACGCGGGGCAACCUGGCGACGAGUGGCGAACGGGUGAGUAAUGCAUCGGAACGUGCCCAGUAGUGGGGGAUAGCCCGGCGAAAGCCGGAUUAAUACCGCAUACGACCUACGGGUGAAAGCGGGGGACCGCAAGGCCUCGCGCUAUUGGAGCGGCCGAUGUCAGAUUAGGUUGUUGGUGGGGUAAAGGCCUACCAAGCCGACGAUCUGUAGCUGGUCUGAGAGGACGACCAGCCACACUGGGACUGAGACACGGCCCAGACUCCUACGGGAGGCAGCAGUGGGGAAUUUUGGACAAUGGGGGCAACCCUGAUCCAGCCAUGCCGCGUGCGGGAAGAAGGCCUUCGGGUUGUAAACCGCUUUUGUCAGGGAAGAAACGCUCUGGGCUAAUACCCCGGGGUAAUGACGGUACCUGAAGAAUAAGCACCGGCUAACUACGUGCCAGCAGCCGCGGUAAUACGUAGGGUGCAAGCGUUAAUCGGAAUUACUGGGCGUAAAGCGUGCGCAGGCGGUCGUGCAAGACAGAUGUGAAAUCCCCGGGCUUAACCUGGGAACUGCAUUUGUGACUGCA
Molecule: ribosomal RNA, 612 nt
Filed under: uncultured Pseudomonadota bacterium
Lineage: Bacteria; Pseudomonadati; Pseudomonadota
Description: bacterial SSU rRNA
Rfam family: Bacterial small subunit ribosomal RNA
Source: RNAcentral